This 102-nucleotide small nucleolar RNA is filed under the name Gossypium hirsutum (cotton). RNAcentral describes it as "Plant small nucleolar RNA R71". It matches the Rfam family "Plant small nucleolar RNA R71". From Rfam's summary of the family: R71 is a member of the C/D box family of snoRNAs containing the C (UGAUGA) and D (CUGA) box motifs. Multiple nearly identical copies of this snoRNA have been identified in Arabidopsis, and it is thought to function as a 2'-O-ribose methylation guide for 18S ribosomal RNA. Lineage: Eukaryota; Viridiplantae; Streptophyta; Magnoliopsida; Malvales; Malvaceae. The record is from Rfam by way of RNAcentral.
AGGAGGUGAUAAGGGCACUUUUUUAAUAACUCCUUGAGCCGCUCCUAUGCCUAAAGAUUGUUCAUUAAGUUACUGAAAUGAAGUGAUUUCAUUUCGGAUCUU